RNAcentral lists this non-coding RNA (26 nucleotides) under Rattus norvegicus (Norway rat). The record is from RNAcentral. Lineage: Eukaryota; Metazoa; Chordata; Mammalia; Rodentia; Muridae.
UGGAUGACUGCAGCUUUGGGCUAAAC